UUGGACCCUGAUAUCAGACAAGACUACCCCGCUGAACUUAAAGCAUAUCAAUAAACCGGAGGAA
This 64-nucleotide ribosomal RNA is filed under the name Globisporangium ultimum. Its description in RNAcentral is "partial 28S ribosomal RNA". The record is from RNAcentral. Lineage: Eukaryota; Oomycota; Peronosporomycetes; Pythiales; Pythiaceae.